GCCGGGUGUGGUGGUGGGCACCUGUAAUCCCAGCUACUCAGGAGGCUGAGGCAGGAGAAUUACUCGAACCCAGGAGACAGAGGUUGCAGUGAGCCGAGAUCGUGCCACUGCACUCCAGCCUGGGCGACAGAGUAAGACUCUGCCUCAA
Molecule: small RNA, 148 nt
Filed under: Macaca fascicularis (crab-eating macaque)
Lineage: Eukaryota; Metazoa; Chordata; Mammalia; Primates; Cercopithecidae
Description: Metazoan signal recognition particle RNA (ENSMFAG00000050158.1)
Rfam family: Metazoan signal recognition particle RNA
About the family: The signal recognition particle (SRP) is a universally conserved ribonucleoprotein. It is involved in the co-translational targeting of proteins to membranes.
Source: Rfam by way of RNAcentral